CAACAAAUAAUGGUGUGUUCUUGUUUUUUCAUAAAGGAGUGGCUGUUCAACCUGGCAAGACAGGUGGCUAUAGCCCAGGACUCAUUGGAGUUGGUGGACUAGGUCUUGGUGGAGUUGGAGCUGGUGGACUGGGACCUGGUGUAGUCAGUCCUGGUGGAGUUGGACCUGGGAGUAUAGCAGUUGGUGAACAGAGACCAGGUGGUUUCGGAGUUGGACUUGGAACAGGAGCUGGUGUUAAACCUGCCAAGACAGGUGGCUAUGGCCCAGGACUCAUUGGCACUGGUGGAGUGGUACCUGGGGGAGUUGGAGCUGGUGGACUAGGUCUUGGUGGAGUGGGACCUGGUGCAGUUGCUCCUAGUGGAUUUGUCACUGGGGGAGUAGGAGUUGGUGGACUGAGACCAGAUGUUUUUGGAGUUGGUGGACUUGGAACAGGUAGAGGAGCUUGUUGUCAAACAGCCGUUGCAGCACUUAGGAAUUACUUUUGUUAUUUAUAACAUUUAUUUGUCCCAUGAUAUUUGGGAAGAAUUUGCAUUAGCCAUAACUAAUGGUUUCUUUUUUUUUUUUAUAAAGGAGCUGGAGUUAAACCUGGUAAGACAGGCGAGAUGACAUUUAGAUCCUGCUUUCACUGUUCAUUCCAAC
Molecule: long non-coding RNA, 639 nt
Filed under: Scleropages formosus (Asian bonytongue)
Lineage: Eukaryota; Metazoa; Chordata; Actinopteri; Osteoglossiformes; Osteoglossidae
Description: lncRNA (ENSSFOG00015030453.1)
Source: RNAcentral